GAAAUGCGAUAAGUAAUGUGAAUUGCAGAAUUCAGUGAAUCAUCGAAUCUUUGAACGCACCUUGCGCUCCUUGGUAUUCCUUGGAGCAUGCCUGUUUGAGUAUCAUGAAAUCUUCAAAGUAAAUCUUUUGUUAACUCAAUUGGUUUCUACUUUGGUAUUGGAGGUCUUUGCAGCUUCACACCUGCUCCUCUUUGUUCAUUAGCUGGAUCUCAGUGUUAUGCUUGGUUCCACUCGGCGUGAUAAGUUAUCUAUCGCUGAGGACACUGUAAAAGGUGGCCAAGGUAAAUGCAGAUGAACCGCUUCUAAUAGUCCAUUCACUUGGACAAUACUUUUAUGAUCUGAUCUCAAAUCAGGUAUGACUACCCGCUGAACUUAAGC
This 378-nucleotide unclassified non-coding RNA is filed under the name plant metagenome. RNAcentral describes it as "partial contains 5.8S ribosomal RNA, internal transcribed spacer 2, and large subunit ribosomal RNA". The stretch from base 1 to 105 matches the Rfam family "5.8S ribosomal RNA", at positions 50 to 154 of the family's 154-position model. The record is from RNAcentral.